Sorghum bicolor (sorghum) is the source of this 496-nucleotide long non-coding RNA. RefSeq lists it as uncharacterized. The transcript has 2 exons. The record is from RefSeq and is a predicted model, not a curated record. NCBI's taxonomy places the organism in Eukaryota, Viridiplantae, Streptophyta, Magnoliopsida, Poales, Poaceae.
ACCGUGAGCUUAUUAGCAGUAUUUGUUAUGUUGGGAGCGAGUUGAGAGACACAAAUGAAGAAGACGACAUCGCUAGUCGCGUGCUCGGUGAUCUUCGCGGCCGCACUAAUCGUUUUGGCUCUCCACGUUGAGCCUGUGCAAGCAGGGUCGAGGACGAUGCCCUCACCUCCACCUCCAUCUGGACAUAUACCCCCUCAGCCCGUCCAUGGCCGACCGUCGCCGCCGCCUCACCAUGGACACGGUUUACUAGCUGCUCCAAACGACGUCUAGGCCCAUCUACAAUCCGGAUUAUUCCAGCAUUAGCGUCAUUCCACAGUGCUGUACCUUGCUCUGUUUUUUUUUGGUUGAGUUUGAUCUAAUAAUUUCAAAACAAUUCGUGCUUGACAGCUAUACUUGCGAUAUCAGUUUGUAAAGAAGUCUGAUGGAUCCUUUCGACCAACGGUUUCGUGCUUCACAAACGAUUUUAUUAUGCUAGUUAUUAAUUGGUGACAAUAAA